Molecule: transfer RNA, 71 nt
Filed under: Ovis aries (sheep)
Lineage: Eukaryota; Metazoa; Chordata; Mammalia; Artiodactyla; Bovidae
Rfam family: tRNA
About the family: Transfer RNA (tRNA) molecules are approximately 80 nucleotides in length. Their secondary structure includes four short double-helical elements and three loops (D, anti-codon, and T loops).
Source: Rfam by way of RNAcentral
UCCUGGUGGCUCAGAUGGUAAAGCAUCUGCCUACAAUGCAGGAGACCCAGGUUCAAUCCCUGGGUUGGGAA